Molecule: ribosomal RNA, 253 nt
Filed under: uncultured bacterium
Lineage: Bacteria
Description: partial 16S ribosomal RNA
Rfam family: Bacterial small subunit ribosomal RNA
Source: RNAcentral
UACGGAGGGAGCGAGCGUUGUCCGAAGUUAUUGGGCGUAAAGCGCUUGUAGGCGGCUUGUUAAGUUCCGUGUGAAAUCCCCAGGCUUAACCUGGGAAGUGCGCGGAAAACUGGCGAGCUUGAAUGCCGGAGAGGGUGGCGGAAUUCCCGGUGUAGAGGUGAAAUUCGUAGAUAUCGGGAGGAACACCAGUGGCGAAGGCGGCGACCUGGACGGACAUUGACGCUGAGACGCGAAAGCGUGGGGAGCAAACAGG